Molecule: long non-coding RNA, 339 nt
Filed under: Nicotiana benthamiana
Lineage: Eukaryota; Viridiplantae; Streptophyta; Magnoliopsida; Solanales; Solanaceae
Description: long non-coding RNA (NBEN_LNC034101)
Source: RNAcentral
GUACAAGGGCACCACUGUACUCCACCUCCACUCAUCCAGCAUCCUUUUGGUCCUGAAGAUCGCAUUGAACAACCUGGAGAGCCACUCCCCUCCUGAAUUACCCAUGCACUUCCAGAACUCCACCGGGAUCUCGUCAGGCCCGGUCGAUCGACCCCUACUCAUCCUACGCAAAGCCCUCAUGACCUCAUCCAUCCUAAUGCGCCUGCAGUAUCCAAGGUCUCUAUGUCGCUCUGAAUGCCCCAACUCCCCUAGCUCUAUGUUACGAUCCCCCUCCUCGUUAAGUAAGUCACGAAAGUACGCCUGCCACCUCUGCUUGACUUGAGACUCCCCCAUCAGAAC